Molecule: long non-coding RNA, 366 nt
Filed under: Amborella trichopoda
Lineage: Eukaryota; Viridiplantae; Streptophyta; Magnoliopsida; Amborellales; Amborellaceae
Description: long non-coding RNA (ATRI_LNC001730)
Source: RNAcentral
UUCCAUCAAUCAAAUAAUCAGUUUUAUCUCUUCUUCCACCUUCAGAAGAAUGAAGCUGAAGCAUAGAUAUCUCCAGCUCCCCCUAUCGUUAGAAUUUUCUGAAAGGUAACUAUCUCAUUUUCGUUUGUAUAGAAAUUCAUAUAGAAUCUUUGAAAAAUACCUUUCUCGAUAAUAAAGGACUUACUAUCUUUGGAAUCUGAUGCUAUACUGCUACUCAGCACCUUAGUGGAUCAACUCUAUUACAUAAGUUGAUUCCUAACUUUAUAUCUCAUAUCUUGACAUAAGUAAGCAGGUCUUAUUGUAUGGGCCCAAAACCUCAAUCAUUGAUCUUUACGGUGCUUCCUCUAUCAAUUAGAUCUUUUAUCU